Molecule: transfer RNA, 71 nt
Filed under: Aliarcobacter butzleri
Lineage: Bacteria; Pseudomonadati; Campylobacterota; Epsilonproteobacteria; Campylobacterales; Arcobacteraceae
Description: tRNA-Asn
Rfam family: tRNA
About the family: Transfer RNA (tRNA) molecules are approximately 80 nucleotides in length. Their secondary structure includes four short double-helical elements and three loops (D, anti-codon, and T loops).
Source: RNAcentral
UCCGGCAUAGCUCAGCGGUAGAGUAGAUGACUGUUAAUCAUUUGGUCCCUGGUUCGAACCCAGGUGCCGGA